GAUGAAGAACGUAGCAAAUGCGAUAAGUAAUGUGAAUUGCAGAAUUCAGUGAAUCAUCGAAUCUUUGAACGCACAUUGCGCCCGCCAGUAUUCUGGCGGGCAUGCCUGUUCGAGCGUCAUUUCAACCAUCAAGCCCCGGGCUUGUGUUGGGGACCUGCGGCUGCCGCAGGCCCUGAAAUGCAGUGGCGGGCUCGCUGUCACUCCGAGCGUAGUAGUUACAUCUCGCUCUGGGCGUGCUGCGGGUUCCGGCCGUUAAAAGCCUUAUUUACCCAAGGUUGACCUCGGAUCAGGUAGGAAGACCCGCUGAACUUAAGCAUAUCAAUAAGCGGAGGA
Molecule: unclassified non-coding RNA, 333 nt
Filed under: soil metagenome
Description: partial contains 5.8S ribosomal RNA, internal transcribed spacer 2, and large subunit ribosomal RNA
Rfam family: 5.8S ribosomal RNA (bases 1-119)
Source: RNAcentral